Artibeus jamaicensis (Jamaican fruit-eating bat) is the source of this 960-nucleotide long non-coding RNA. RefSeq lists it as uncharacterized. The record is from RefSeq and is a predicted model, not a curated record. The transcript is spliced from 3 exons. Lineage: Eukaryota; Metazoa; Chordata; Mammalia; Chiroptera; Phyllostomidae.
AAGCAAGGUCACCUCAGAGGUGGGGACAUUUUUCUUUUCUCUUUUGGUCUGACCCGCCCAAUUAUUUUGACCUAAGUUCACUGCCCCUGGCCUGCCAUAGCACGCGACCUGUGGGAAACCCACGCAGCACCCUGAACGCAGUGUUAACGCCCCCAGUCGGAGAAGGCCCACGGCCAGGGCGAGGCCAUCGGCUUCCAGCUGCACAUUCGUCGCGUCAUCACCAACAGCUCCCAGGUUUAGCCACGCGGGAAGCAGACCCGAGUCCAGGGAGUCUGCGCGAGUGGCAGUGGAAAGCGGAACUCGGAAAUGGAGUGUGGAGAGCGACGGACUGCCGGGGCGCCUUCAGACUCGCUCCCAAACACAAGGGCUCUCCGAGAGGUCAAGUUUGUUCCAUGAGCCCUGAGCCUCCCUCCGCUGCAGCUGCGGCCGGUCCACCGUCCACGUUGACAGUGGCAGUGAGGCAGGAAGUUCGCACUGACGGGGAGAACGCUGGUGUGUCUGCGCCCCGGUCAUCCGGGGUCACUAGGGAGGACUGCGUCCCCCAAGGUCACAGAUUGGCGUCCUAACCCCCAGGACUUCAUAAGGUGACUACACGUGGAGACGGGGUCUUGAAAGAGGUGGCAAAGUCAUACAACUUGGAUUCCCAACAAACUUGGUCCCAGCAGUGAAGACUGACAACCAGCGGCCCCGGACAGAGACCCCACUGCGCACAAGGGCUCUCGGCCGGUCACGUGCAUCCGGUGCCCAGGUGAAGAGCCGUCAACGGCCACAGCGCAGAUGAUCUCCAAACCGGCCGCAAACUUCCCGCUGCCUGCCUGCGUCUCUGCCCUGACAGUGAGUUCUGGCGUCUCGACUCAUCGAUGUGUUUUUGGUGCCUGGCCCAGUGUCUGGCCUACAGUGGCUCAACAAGAAAAUGCCCGAUGAAAAAAAUGAAUGAAAAUAGAUCAAAAUAUUCGCGGC